UCCCAGAUUGGCUCCAGCAGAAAAGUCCCUCGUGCACAGGCAGCUCUUGUGCCGGCACUACUUGAAAACAUGGCUACGGGCCAGCUUCCUGCUUGCAGUCACUCGCAUAGCACAGAGGUGGGGCUUCGGGCAGGGAGCGGAGAUUCCUCAUAGGUGAGUCCAAAUGACCUCCAGCCUCUCGAAGGCAUCAAGACAAAUUGAAAGAAAGCAAUAACUCACCAAAGCUCAACGCUGCCCCUGCCUCGACCUCCAUGGGUCUCUUCGUGUUCCUCGUUUCACCCCAGAAAGUGGAGGUUUCCUCUUGGCAUUUUCGGAGGAAACUUGUAGGACACCCAAGGCGACUAAGAGACAGCCUCCUUGGCAAGGGCAGGCACCACUUUGUAGCAACUUGGGCACCAGCUUUUCUGGACAGCCUGGCUUCUUACUGGCAUUGUCCAACUCAUCC
This 445-nucleotide long non-coding RNA is filed under the name Homo sapiens (human). RNAcentral describes it as "non-protein coding lnc-TUBB2B-2:5". The record is from RNAcentral. Lineage: Eukaryota; Metazoa; Chordata; Mammalia; Primates; Hominidae.